RNAcentral lists this RNase P RNA (332 nucleotides) under Vicingaceae bacterium. RNAcentral describes it as "RNase P RNA component class A". It matches the Rfam family "Bacterial RNase P class A". From Rfam's summary of the family: Ribonuclease P (RNase P) is a ubiquitous endoribonuclease, found in archaea, bacteria and eukarya as well as chloroplasts and mitochondria. Lineage: Bacteria; Pseudomonadati; Bacteroidota; Flavobacteriia; Flavobacteriales; Vicingaceae. The record is from RNAcentral.
CUAAUAAAUCGUUCUAUCGUGCCAAGUAAUUGGUAAGGAAAGUCCGGACAGCAUAGAGUACCAUACCUUAUGAAAGUGAGGGUUCCAAUUUAUUGGAAACAGCUAGUGCAACAGAAAAUAAACCGUUCCGAUUUAUCGGAAUAAGGGUGAAAAGGUGAGGUAAGAGCUCACCGCUCCAAUGGCAACAAAGGAGGCUAGGCAAACCUUAUGGGCUGCAAGGUCAAAUAAACCGGAAAUGGGGUUACUCGCUCUUCCGGAGGGUAGACUGCGAAGAUAAAUGAUAGAAUAUCUCUUUGAGAUAACAGAAUCUGGCUUAUAGAUUUAUUUAUUAA